GACGAGGGGUCCAAGCGUUGUUCGGAAUCAUUGGGCGUAAAGCGGGUGUAGGCGGCUCUGUAAGUUAGGAGUGAAAGCCCCGGGCUCAACCUGGGAAGUGCUUUUAAUACUGCAGAGCUUGAAUGUGGGAGAGGGUAGUGGAAUUCCAGGUGUAGUGGUGAAAUACGUAGAUAUCUGGAGGAACACCGGUGGCGAAGGCGGCUACCUGGCCCAACAUUGACGCUGAGACCCGAAAGCAUGGGGAUCAAACAGG
RNAcentral lists this ribosomal RNA (253 nucleotides) under uncultured bacterium. Its description in RNAcentral is "partial 16S ribosomal RNA". It matches the Rfam family "Bacterial small subunit ribosomal RNA", at positions 524 to 776 of the family's 1533-position model. The record is from RNAcentral.